CACUUCACUCUCUCUUUCCGACACACAGCAGUGCCUCGGCCCUCCUCUCUGCCCUGUUCUCGACGGGCAGGCGCAUAUACGCGGGGGAGGGAACAGGGGGCGAAGUGUUGACCACCUCAUGCGUGUAUGUGUGCACGGUAUGGUCCCUCCGCCAACUGCCGGCUUUGGCGGGCGGUGAGCAAGCUACCAGCCGGCAAAAGCAACUUCCCUCCCCGACGCAGCUCACUAAGCGUUCGCGGCAGAUGCAGCCCCAUCGGCCGAGGAAUCUCCGUCGCCCCGCGCGCGCUCCCAAAUUACAACAAUAUACACUCGAUGCGAGCUGUUGCAUCGGUGACCAAAGCGGAGGUGGCGGCAGGACUGCACUUACGACACGAGAGGAGGAGGCAGCGGCGGCGGCAUUCCGUCAGUGUGUCAAGCGCCUACAACGCCCGAAAUACCACCCGCGGCACACCACAGCCUAACUUAUCUUGGGUGCAUGAGAAGUCCAAGCAGUACUGCAACCGUUCCAUCGCCUUCUAGCGACCUCCUUUUACAUAAAACUGUGGAGAAUGCUGGGAGAAUCGCUUUAAAAUAACGGUGCUUGUGGGAAGAGAGAGACUUGCAUGAGAGAAUAUCAUAAUAACCAAUAAACUCGCCAGAAGCUGGAGAACAUGCACGUAAUUCUGUCACGUGAUUACUCCUGCAGCAGCACUGUGAGGGAAGUAGGCGUCACGAAGUCUUUCCAGAGCUUCCUGAAGCCCUACAUUUUCAACUCGAGCCAGAUUUUACAGAGUUAAAACGGAAAAGGUCUUGCUGGGAAAAUAACACUGAAGACAGAAGAAUACACCUACAUCCGGAAACAGGAGUGACGCGAGACGAACCUUCCACGCCUGUGUGAAUGACUAGGAGACGUUUCAUCGGAAACAAAUUGGAAAUAUAUCAGUUCUGAUAAUUUUUACUAUUUAGUACACUUCCCAGAAUGUAAGAUUGUUAACAAAGUGAAAACCAACAAAAAGUCACAGCCAAGCUGCAAAAAAUGUACUAUAAAAUUAAUCUCAUCAGACCUUCAGUAUAGUGAUGGUUGCUUAACGUACUCAAGAAAUGACGAAGAAUUUGGUAACCCUUUUCCACGCUAUAUCCAAGAUAUUUCUUCUUCUACUUACAACUAAUUUAAAAAAUGAAAGGUCUCGGUUCUCUGAUCUUUAAGCAGUUACAGCUAUUAUUAUUAUUAUUAUUAUUAUUAUUAUUAUAGCUCCUAUAGUUAUACAUCUGCCUUAG
Long non-coding RNA from Cryptotermes secundus, 1257 nucleotides. RefSeq lists it as uncharacterized. Lineage: Eukaryota; Metazoa; Arthropoda; Insecta; Blattodea; Kalotermitidae. The transcript is spliced from 5 exons. The record is from RefSeq and is a predicted model, not a curated record.